UUCAGACGAUGCGUCAUGCAUAUCAAUAAGCGGAGGAAAAGAAACUAACAAGGAUUCCCCUAGUAACGGCGAGUGAAGCGGGAAGAGCUCAAAUUUGAAAUCUUAAAGGGUUUCCCUUUACGAAUUGUAGUUUAAAGAAGUGUUUUCUGUUGAGGUUUUGGUAAAAGUUCUUUGGAAUAGGACAUCAUAGAGGGUGAGAAUCCCGUAUUUGACCUUUACUUUCAACUUUGUGAUACACUUUCAAAGAGUCGGAUUGUUUGGGAAUGCAGUCCAAAAUGGGUGGUAAAUUUCAUCUAAAGCUAAAUAUUGGCGAGAGACCGAUAGCGAACAAGUACCGUGAGGGAAAGAUGAAAAGAACUUUGAAAAGAGAGUUAAACAGUACGUGAAAUUGUCAAAAGGGAAGCGUUUGACACCAGUGUUGUUUUUCUGAAAAUCAAUUAAAGAACUGUUUAUGCUAAGCUGUUUAGACUUUAUCAGCUAUCUGUUUAGUUUUGAGCUUUUCUUUAAUGCACUUUUCAGUUAACAAGUCAACAUCAAUUUCUUUUGCUGUAAAAAAGCUUGAGGGAAGGUGGCUUGAGAUUCGUCUUAAGUGUUUAUAACCUCUUGCCUAUGCAGUCGGAGAGAUUGAGGUCUGCAGCGUAGAUCCUUCGGGGCUAAAUGCAUUUGUGCUAAGUUAUAGCAUUUUAUAGACAACUUGUUGACUAUGAUUUGUCUUGUAGCUUACUCGCUUAUGUUAUUUUACCUACGCUUAGGAUGUUGAGCGCAUGUCUCUCUCU
This 776-nucleotide ribosomal RNA is filed under the name uncultured Neocallimastigales. RNAcentral describes it as "partial large subunit ribosomal RNA". It matches the Rfam family "Eukaryotic large subunit ribosomal RNA", at positions 18 to 616 of the family's 3401-position model. The record is from RNAcentral. Lineage: Eukaryota; Fungi; Neocallimastigomycota; Neocallimastigomycetes; Neocallimastigales.